GACGGUAUCGUCUAGUGGUUAGGACGCUCGGUUUUGAUUAAUAUAGGAUCAAACCGUCCGAUCGGCCUGGGUUCGACUCCCAGUACUGUCU
Molecule: non-coding RNA, 91 nt
Organism: Kwoniella sp. CBS 9459
Lineage: Eukaryota; Fungi; Basidiomycota; Tremellomycetes; Tremellales; Cryptococcaceae
Source: the annotation of a GenBank genome assembly